This 254-nucleotide ribosomal RNA is filed under the name uncultured bacterium. RNAcentral's name for it is "partial 16S ribosomal RNA". It matches the Rfam family "Bacterial small subunit ribosomal RNA", at positions 524 to 776 of the family's 1533-position model. The record is from RNAcentral.
UACGGAGGGUGCAAACGUUGCUCGGAAUCAUUGGGCGUAAAGCGCACGUAGGCGGCCUGUUAAGUCGGAUGUGAAAGCCCCGGGCUCAACCCGGGAAGGGUCAUUGGAAACUGGUUGACUUGAGUACAGGAGAGAAGAGUGGAAUUCCACGUGUAGCGGUGAAAUGCGUAGAGAUGUGGAGGAACACCAGUGGCGAAGGCGACUCUUUGGCCUGAAACUGACGCUGAGGCGCGAAAGCGUGGGGAGCAAACAGG